AGUCCUGCUAUCGGGGUUCGAUUAGCCAUGCGAGUCGAGAGGGUUCGGCCCUCGGCAUACUGCUCAGUAACACGUGGAUAACCUGCCCUAAGGUGGAGCAUAACCCCGGGAAACUGGGGAUAAUACUCCAUAGGCUACCGAGGCUGGAAUGCGCGGUAACCGAAAGUUCCGGCGCCUUAGGAUGGAUCUGCGGCCGAUUAGGUUGUUGUUGGGGUAAUGGCCCAACAAGCCCGUAAUCGGUACGGGUUGUGGGAGCAAGAGCCCGGAGAUGGACUCUGAGACACGAGUCCAGGCCCUACGGGGCGCAGCAGGCGCGAAAACUUUACAAUGCGGGAAACCGUGAUAAGGGAACCCCGAGUGCCCGUACACGCGGGCUGUUAAGGUGUUUAAAACGCAUCUCGAGAAAGGGCCGGGCAAGACCGGUGCCAGCCGCCGCGGUAAUACCGGCGGCUCGAGUGGUGACCACUAUUAUUGGGCUUAAAGCGUCCGUAGCUGGACUGUUAAGUCCCUUGGGAAAUCCGCCGGCUUAACCGGUGGGCGUCUAAGGGAUACUGGCGGUCUAGGGACCGGAAGAGGUGAGAGGUACUCCGGGGGUAGGAGUGAAAUCCUGUAAUCCUCGGGGGACCACCUGUGGCGAAGGCGUCUCACCAGGACGGCUCCGACAGUGAGGGACGAAAGCUGGGGGAGCAAACCGGAUUAGAUACCCGGGUAGUCCCAGCCGUAAACGAUGCGCGUUAGGUGUAUCGGUGACCACGAGUUACCGAGGUGCCGAAAGG
Molecule: ribosomal RNA, 776 nt
Filed under: uncultured archaeon
Lineage: Archaea
Description: bacterial SSU rRNA
Rfam family: Archaeal small subunit ribosomal RNA
Source: RNAcentral